This 343-nucleotide ribosomal RNA is filed under the name uncultured Bacillota bacterium. RNAcentral describes it as "bacterial SSU rRNA". It matches the Rfam family "Bacterial small subunit ribosomal RNA", at positions 28 to 351 of the family's 1533-position model. The record is from RNAcentral. Lineage: Bacteria; Bacillati; Bacillota.
GAUGAACGCUGGCGGCGUGCUUAACACAUGCAAGUCGAACGAAGCAUUUAAAUCAGAUUUCUUCGGAAUGACGAUUUACUUGACUGAGUGGCGGACGGGUGAGUAACGCGUGGGUAACCUGCCUUAUACUGGGGGAUAACAGUUAGAAAUGACUGCUAAUACCGCAUAAGCGCACGGCAUCACAUGAUGCAGUGUGAAAAACUCCGGUGGUAUAAGAUGGACCCGCGUCUGAUUAGCUAGUUGGUAAGGUAAUGGCUUACCAAGGCGACGAUCAGUAGCCGACUUGAGAGAGUGACCGGCCACAUUGGGACUGAGACACGGCCCAAACUCCUACGGGUGGCAG